UCUACUUUGCUUGGGCUGGGCUAUUACAUUCAGAUGCUCCUCCUGGCAGCAGUCGUGGGGGUGACUUGCUUUCUUGUGACCCAGGUGGCUGUCUCCUUGAACUGAUGAUGCAGCUGACAAUAAUCAUGGGAGGACAGUCCAUCUGGAAUAACAUACAGAGGUGUUACUUCCAUGAGUACUAAGUCAUGUGAUCUUGGGGUGAGAACGGCCCACCCAUCCAAGUAAUUUUCCUGCAUGAACAUCUCUAAAACAGGGGAGACUCUCUGCUUAUUAAAGCUCUCCAGAUAAGAUGAUCCAGCCAACAGUGUAAACAUACCUCCUGUUUAAUAAUUAUGUUUAAAUUCCUUCCUUUUUAUGUUUAAAUUAAAUCCUCAAGUGCUAUA
This is a long non-coding RNA of Camelus dromedarius (Arabian camel), 383 nucleotides long. RefSeq lists it as uncharacterized. Lineage: Eukaryota; Metazoa; Chordata; Mammalia; Artiodactyla; Camelidae. The transcript is spliced from 2 exons. The record is from RefSeq and is a predicted model, not a curated record.